Molecule: small nucleolar RNA, 128 nt
Filed under: Sciurus vulgaris (Eurasian red squirrel)
Lineage: Eukaryota; Metazoa; Chordata; Mammalia; Rodentia; Sciuridae
Description: Small nucleolar RNA SNORA70 (ENSSVLG00005016174.1)
Rfam family: Small nucleolar RNA SNORA70
About the family: snoRNA U70 seems to be exclusive to mammals and is a member of the H/ACA class of snoRNA which contain H (ANANNA) and ACA box motifs.
Source: Rfam by way of RNAcentral
UUGCACACAAUUUAUAAAAUCUAGAGAAAAAUUGUGGGGACUGUGCAGUGACCACUUACAGUAGCCCCCUUGGUAGUACAUGCAGCCAGUUGCAUUUUGGAUUGCUGCAGGGGACCUUGGAGACAGGU